UUUGAGAGAGAACCGGCAGGAGAGAAAGGGAGAAAGAAGAAGAAGAAGAGAAAAGAGGGGAAAAUAAGGGAAAAGGAAGAGAUUGGAAGAAAUAAGUUUAAAGAUAAUCCUGAUAUUCUACCAGCGGGACGUCAGUAGGAUUUUCUUCGAUAUCAGCUUUGAGUUUUGUUGCUUUCGAGUCAGGCUUAUAGCUUGAUAGCAGGUCAUUUUGUUGGACCUUCAGAACCUGCUUUUUGGUUGUACUUUGUACCUUUCUUUUAUGUCUAGUUAGUGCUCCAAAACUCUGAACUUUUAUAAACUUUUGUAUCAAGACAAUUCAAUUAUAUUAUGAAAUUGAUUUUGUUAUUAAUGCUGCGUUGAACUCUGAUUGAGUUAGGAUAAGUUUGUGUGUAAGUUUGGGUUCGCAUAGGUAUGGAAC
This is a long non-coding RNA of Populus nigra (black poplar), 418 nucleotides long. RefSeq lists it as uncharacterized. The record is from RefSeq and is a predicted model, not a curated record. Lineage: Eukaryota; Viridiplantae; Streptophyta; Magnoliopsida; Malpighiales; Salicaceae. The transcript has 3 exons.